AUGGACCCCGCGUGCACUGCGGUUGUGAGCGCGCCGUCCGCGCCCACCUGACAGCUGUUCGCGAGGUGUUGCUAGCC
This 77-nucleotide small RNA is filed under the name Xanthomonas oryzae. RNAcentral's name for it is "sX9". It matches the Rfam family "Xanthomonas sRNA sX9". The record is from RNAcentral. Lineage: Bacteria; Pseudomonadati; Pseudomonadota; Gammaproteobacteria; Lysobacterales; Lysobacteraceae.